This is a non-coding RNA of Pelobates cultripes (western spadefoot toad), 205 nucleotides long. Lineage: Eukaryota; Metazoa; Chordata; Amphibia; Anura; Pelobatidae. The record is from the annotation of a GenBank genome assembly.
UUAACAUUUUGAUUGGUAUAGUUAUACCAAAAGAGCAAGGAGUACGACGGUAGAUCACAUCUGCAACAGAACCAUUACAGAUUCCUUGUUGUAUCAAUGUCUCUGUGUUUAUGUUUACAGGAGUUCCUUGCUUUGUAGGUAUGUACAUAAUAUGUAGAGUUUAAGAAAAGCUGCAAAUCGUGCUUUAGUACAAGUGUCCCGUCAG